RNAcentral lists this ribosomal RNA (383 nucleotides) under uncultured bacterium. RNAcentral's name for it is "bacterial SSU rRNA". It matches the Rfam family "Bacterial small subunit ribosomal RNA", at positions 30 to 410 of the family's 1533-position model. The record is from RNAcentral.
AUUAAACGCUGGCGGCAUGCCUUACACAUGCAAGUCGAACGGCAGCACGGGAGCUUGCUCCUGGUGGCGAGUGGCGAACGGGUGAGUAAUACAUCGGAACGUACCCUGAAGUGGGGGAUAACGUAGCGAAAGUUACGCUAAUACCGCAUAUUCUGUGAGCAGGAAAGAGGGGGAUCGCAAGACCUCUUGCUUUAGGAGCGGCCGAUGUCGGAUUAGCUAGUUGGUGAGGUAAAAGGCUCACCAAGGCGACGAUCCGUAGCGGGUCUGAGAGGAUGAUCCGCCACACUGGGACUGAGACACGGCCCAGACUCCUACGGGAGGCAGCAGUGGGGAAUUUUGGACAAUGGGCGCAAGCCUGAUCCAGCCAUGCCGCGUGAGUGAAG